GUUGGCUUGACAGUUUAACAUUAGAAUCAAUACAACAGUCACGAGAAAAAGUGAUACAACAAUUACAAUUAUUAUUGUUAAUACCGGACUCCAUGUUGAACAGUCGGCGUCUGUUGGCUUAUAGUUCACGAGAAGACUGUGUUUCUUGUCCUCUGGGUAUAUGCACGCGAAGUAUUUUGGCCAGUGUGUCAGUAUUUUAGAAAUGUUUGAGGAUCGACAAUAAUCAACAAACCAUUUCUGAGCACAUGUACACCAGAAUUCAUUAUGAGAUAUAUCUAGCUUUUUCAAAGAAUGUAGUAACUGGAUCGGAAAUGAUGAUUCAUUAAUAACUCGAAUGUAAUUUCCAUCCAAAAGUAGUUGUCUCAAAGAUUUCAGAUUU
This 379-nucleotide long non-coding RNA is filed under the name Mytilus galloprovincialis (Mediterranean mussel). Lineage: Eukaryota; Metazoa; Mollusca; Bivalvia; Mytilida; Mytilidae. The record is from RNAcentral.